UUUUUUUUUGAGACAGGGUCUUGCGCUGUCACCCAGGCUAUAAUGCAGUGGCAAGAUCAUGGCUCGCUGCAGCCUUGACCUCCCGGGCUCAAAUGAUCCUCCUGCUUCAGCCUCCCAAGUAGCUGGGACCACAGGCAUGUGACAUCACAACCAACUAAUUUUUAUUUAUUUUUGUAGACAGGGUCUUGCCAUGUUGCCUAGGCUGGGCUCAAACUCCUGGGCUCAAGCAAUCCUCCCACCUUGGCCUCCCAAAGUGCUGGGAUUACAGACGUGAGCCACUAUACCCAGCCCAAGAUUCUACAUGUCCAACAAGGUCCCAGAUAAUGCUAUUACUGCUGGCUCAUGGGCCACACUCGGUGAGCAAAGCUGCAGGUCAUCACAUCCUCAUGGUCAUAUAAGGACUCUAUUUCACAGAUGAGGAAGCUGAGGCUCAGAGGGCUCAUAUGUGGCUCGAUCACAUUUUGAACCCAGGUCUGCCUGCCUCCAAAGCUGGUGCUCAUAACUAGAUUCUCAGUUGAUGUUGGGCCAAGGUGCCUAGGUUCUCUCCUUGACCUUCCUUCUCAAGUAAUGAUGCUAUGAUAAGCUCAUCGGAGGCUAAGGCCCAGGCACGUGUUUACCUGAACUAUCUAUGUUAUAUGAUUCCUUCCUCAGACAGAGUGAGCUACUCACGAUCCCAGGUGUAUCCUGAGGCCAGCCAAGGUGUAUCCAUGACCUCAUGCCUCUGUUCCAGCCUGCCCUUUGACAGCUCAUCCCACCUGCCUGCCCUCCCUGCCUAUCUGCAGACGGUAGUCUAGGAUUGCAGCUGCCCCGGGGGCUCAUUUUCCCUCUCAGCUUCCUGCCUUAGCCGUCUCCUGCCUCCCACUCACCUAUUAUUCCAGCACUCUCACCUGGUCUUUUCUGUCUCAUCACUGCCUCUUGACAUCUUUAUCUCAUAGCAGUUAGUUAGGGGUUCUUGGUAAUGCCCUAAAUCCUUAUGGCAGGCAGAGGGAGUGGGGAAAGAGAGUGUGCUGUGCGGCUGUGCCUACUUCUGGAGGGUAAGACUCGGGCCCUCCAGGAACAAAGGAUUCCGGGUGGUGGCAGCUAUAGCCGAGCAGGAUGCUGGCCAGGGAUUACACAGGAGUAUUUUGUUUGCUUAAGAAAAUAAACAACACUGAGCAUGAGAUGGAGGGAGGAGGUGUUGGUGCCAGAGAGAUUGGGAAGAAUCUGCCAAGAGAGUGUUCUACUCACUCUCCUCUUUUCUUUAAUCUCCACUGAGCUGGAGGCAGUUAUCCUGUCCCCCACAUCACAUUCCUACUCCUGUUUCCCAUGCCUGGACCCAGGUUGGGCAAACUCUUCCUGUAAAGAACCAGACAGGAACUAUUUUAGGCUCUGUGUGCCAUAUGGUCUCAGUCACAACUACUCAUCUCUGCCUCUGUAGCACGAAAGCAAUUAGCGACAAUAUGUCAACAAACAUAUGUGACCCAUGAGAACUUUAUUUAUGGAUACAGAAACCUGCAAAUAAUGUCUUUCUUUUGAUUUUUUCCCCAAUCAUUAAAAAAUGUAAAAAGUACUCUUAGGUCGCAAGGUUAAGCCAUUCUCAGCUUAGCAGUGGCAGGCUGGAUUUGGCUUGUGACCUACAGUUGGCCAAUCCCUGAUUCCCAAAAUGUAUUCCUCAGGGAUGUGGGCAAAUACUUAUGGGAAAUGCUGGAUUAAACAGAGUUAAGAAGCAUCAGACAUUUCCAGGACGGGCUAGCACAUGCCAGGGCUCUCUAACUGACUUCAUUAGGAUUCAUCUGUUUCAUGGAGGAUCUUGCAAGACCAGAAUUCCUCAAGCCUAGAGUCUGAGGACUGUGCUUUGGGAAACAGUGCUCUGCUUGAUGCUCUCACUGGGCACAUGGUAGAAUCUAGAGCUGAGUGCCUUGCUAGCUGGAGAUAGGGUCAGAGCUCUUGACUGCACUGGCACUCUUGACACAUCACACUCUUGGUGUCCCCUGAGUGGUUCAGAGCCACACAGGCCAAGACUAGCCCACCAGAACACCAGGCCUUCCAGCUUUCUGGGCUUGUCCAUGCAUACACUUCCUUAUUCUUCCAGGUUUCCAGAACCUAAGGAGAGGCACAUUUUGAUUGAGUGAUUAUAACCUAAGGACCAAGGGUAGCUGCAUGUCAGGAAACACUCCUCAACUUCCUGGCCCUGACGGAUUAAAGGAGAGGUACUUACAGGUGAUUCCUUCUCUGUGGACUACUGUCCCAGCAUGAAUAAGGCAUCAUUAUUGAAUUAUUUUGACAGGAAGGAGACUGGUGCAUGCUGCACAGUAAUAAUGUAUUAACAUGUGUACAGUUUACCUAGGACCUCUGUGUUGUUUUUGCAUUUGUUUAUUACACUUGCCCUUGGGGGGAGGUGGGACAGAUUUUUAAAAAAUUUAUACAUGCAGAGACUGCAGCUCAGAGAAGCUAAGAGACUUGCCCCUGCCCACACAGCCUGUGGUAGAGCCUGAACUCAGAUCUAGGUCUCAUCUCACCUCAGGGGCUGCUUUCCCCAUCGCCCUAUUGUCUUAAAGUGAUGGGUGACUAGGCAAUGAAGUAAUUCGCUAGGAAAGCAUGACCAAUUUCCCUUUCUCCACCUCCCUCUUUUUCCUCCACCCCUCCCCCC
This 2629-nucleotide long non-coding RNA is filed under the name Macaca fascicularis (crab-eating macaque). RNAcentral's name for it is "lncRNA (ENSMFAG00000049236.1)". The record is from RNAcentral. Lineage: Eukaryota; Metazoa; Chordata; Mammalia; Primates; Cercopithecidae.